AUCUUUAUUACAUAUUUAACAAACAAAAUAUUAUUCAUUGUUGGUUUUCUUUAAGAAAUAUUAAUUGCGCGAAAAAUUUGUGUAAACAGCAAAGAGUAUCAUCAAUAUUUAUAUAACUGUCCUCCAAACGAAAAGUCGGGCCAAAAAGCAGAAUAAAUAAAGAAACCAACGACUUUAGUAAUAAGUUCUCAUAUAUUUUAAGCGGAUUUUUUUUUACUCCUUAUAUUUAUUUGUUUUUCGCUUUUUUUUUUGCUUUUUUCUUUUAGCCCCUUGAGCCGUCACAAGUGCAAUAUGCUGAUAAGGCUGGAGAAUUGGUAGGCAGACAGGAGUGACGACGACGAGACUGCUGAAGACAGGAGAAACCGAAGAAGAUCCAGACAGAUUUUAUGGCCAAAAUAAAUGACGAACAGCGAAAACGGCAAAUGGCCAAACGAAAGGAACAGGCUAAUAAAAAGCCAUUAAAGCCAAGUUCAGGCAGGUCAUUUCGCAGGACUUACUGGACCUUGACUUCAAGUUUCCUUUCUUGGAUCUAAGAGAGCUGUUCUUCCUACUCUUGUAAAAGAUUUUGUUAGUAAAGACAAGAAGAAAAAGGAUUACGUACAGAAAAACAAGUCCUUAUCAAACGACAGACGUCUCUUCUCUCUUAAAAGAUGUCACUAAUAGAUCACCUCCAAUGGUAUUAUUAACAGGCUUCGAUUUACGAUCAAAGAGGAGUUCAGAAAUUCAACUCCCUCUCCAAGCGACAGAUGACUAAUCCCUCUCAAAAGACGCCACUCAUAGGAUCACCUUCUAUAGAAUUAUUCACUGUCGCUGAUUUGCGAUUAAAAAGGGUACAGGUAAGUAUAAAGAAGCUUAUAAACUGUAAAAAUAUUUAAUAAAUAUCUUAAUUUUUAGAAAUCCAACUUCCUCUGCAAACGGCAGACGACUCUUCUCCCUCAAAAGAAGUCCCUCAUAGGAUCGCCUGCUACAGAACUAUUCACUAUCGCCGAUUUUCGAUCAAAAAAGGAUACAGAAAUCCAACUCCCUUUUCAAACGGAAGACGUCUCUUCUCCCUCAAAAUAUACCACCCAUAGAUCACCUCCAAUGGCAUUAUUCACAGGCGCCGAAUUGCGAUCAAAGAAGAGUUCAGAAAUCCAACUCCUUCUUCAAACGGAAGACUCUUCAAAAUCUACACCACUCAUAGAUCACCUCCAAUGGCAUUAUUCAUACCGCACUGGCGCUGAUUUGCUGUCGAUUUAAUUGAUUUCAAUUACGGGGCGGCAUUAUUUCAAUUAGGUGAGUUAAGAAGAGGCUAUCAGGAGGAGGGAGGUGAUACAGAGGUGGGGAAAAUUGACAUGACACGUUGGGGUAGAGUCGUCGAGUUA
Long non-coding RNA from Drosophila eugracilis, 1364 nucleotides. RefSeq lists it as uncharacterized. The record is from RefSeq and is a predicted model, not a curated record. The transcript is spliced from 6 exons. Lineage: Eukaryota; Metazoa; Arthropoda; Insecta; Diptera; Drosophilidae.